UUCAAAAUUUAAACGAAGUAUGUUCUAUUUUGUCAAUUUGUGACAAUAUUGUAUUAAUAAGAUCACAAGUGGCGGAUAUUCGCGAGGAGCAAGAACGUCAGGCAAAUAUUUUGGAAGGUUCUGCUCUAUCUCUUGAGUCUGCAAAAGUACCAAAGAAUUUAAUCACCAAAACUAAUGACGAAGUGUGUUCUAUUUUAUCAAUAUGCAACAAUCUAGCAGCUUUAAGCUCGGAGCUGGCUGCAGUGCGGGCGGAGCAAGAGCGUCAGGGAGAUCUUUUGGAGGAGUCUUGUAAAACAGAAACCGAUUCCGUUCCCGCAAAUUGU
This is a long non-coding RNA of Drosophila serrata, 323 nucleotides long. The record is from RefSeq and is a predicted model, not a curated record. Lineage: Eukaryota; Metazoa; Arthropoda; Insecta; Diptera; Drosophilidae.